RNAcentral lists this ribosomal RNA (372 nucleotides) under uncultured bacterium. RNAcentral's name for it is "bacterial SSU rRNA". It matches the Rfam family "Bacterial small subunit ribosomal RNA", at positions 524 to 898 of the family's 1533-position model. The record is from RNAcentral.
UACGGAGGGUGCAAGCGUUAUCCGGAAUCACUGGGUUUAAAGGGUGCGUAGGCGGAUAUUUAAGUAAGUGGUGAAAUCUUGUCGCUUAACGAUAAAAUUGCCAUUGAUACUGAAUGUCUUGAAUUGGGUUGAGGUUAGCGGAAUGUGACAUGUAGCGGUGAAAUGCAUAGAUAUGUCAUGGAACACCAAUUGCGAAGGCAGCUAGCUGGGCCUUGAUUGACGCUGAGGCACGAAAGCGUGGGUAGCGAACAGGAUUAGAUACCCUGGUAGUCCACGCCGUAAACGAUGAUCACUCGCUGUUGGCGAUACACAGUCAGCGGCUAAGCAAAAGCAUUAAGUGAUCCACCUGGGGAGUACGGCCGCAAGGCUGAA